RNAcentral lists this long non-coding RNA (212 nucleotides) under Elaeis guineensis (African oil palm). RNAcentral describes it as "long non-coding RNA (EGUI_LNC051906)". The record is from RNAcentral. Lineage: Eukaryota; Viridiplantae; Streptophyta; Magnoliopsida; Arecales; Arecaceae.
UCACAUAACUACAACAUCGAGACAAUCACUGAUGAUUAAUUAGAAAUCCAAGUGAUCUCUCGUAUGAUCAUGCUCAGUACUAGUUAUUUUCUAACAACUACCCGUACUUAUUGCUAGUGUCUCUACACUAUAGACCAGAGGCUUAUCUACCCUAAAGAAAGCGAUCUACAUGUCGGUCUAUCUGGAUCAAUCACUAUUCUCAUGAUGAUACU